RNAcentral lists this ribosomal RNA (200 nucleotides) under uncultured eukaryote. RNAcentral's name for it is "partial 18S ribosomal RNA". It matches the Rfam family "Eukaryotic small subunit ribosomal RNA", at positions 587 to 789 of the family's 1831-position model. The record is from RNAcentral.
AGCUCCAAUAGCGUAUAUUAAAGUUGUUGCGGUUAAAAAAGCUCGUAGUUGGAUUUCUGCUGAGGACGACCGGUCCGCCUCUGGGUGAGCAUCUGGCUCGGCCUUGGCAUCUUCUUGGAGAACGUAUCUGCACUUCAUUGUGUGGUGCGGUAACCAGGACUUUUUACUUUGAGGAAUUAGAGUGUUUCAAGCAGGCGUGC